This 325-nucleotide ribosomal RNA is filed under the name uncultured eukaryote. RNAcentral describes it as "partial 18S ribosomal RNA". It matches the Rfam family "Eukaryotic small subunit ribosomal RNA", at positions 1470 to 1796 of the family's 1831-position model. The record is from RNAcentral.
CCCUUAGAUGUCCUGGGCCGCACGCGCGCUACACUGAUGCAUUCAACGAGUAUUUCCUUGGCCGAGAGGCCUGGGCAAUCUUUUAAACCUGCAUCGUGAUAGGGAUAGAUUAUUGCAAUUAUUAAUCUUGAACGAGGAAUUCCUAGUAAACGCAAAUCAUCAAUUUGCAUUGAUUACGUCCCUGCCCUUUGUACACACCGCCCGUCGCACCUACCGAUUGAAUGGUCCGGUGAAAUCUCGGGAUUGUGGCCAGUUCACUUUAUUGGGAGUUGGCUGCGAGAACUUGCUUAAACCUUAUCAUUUAGAGGAAGGUGAAGUCAUAACA